Molecule: ribosomal RNA, 260 nt
Filed under: uncultured bacterium
Lineage: Bacteria
Description: partial 16S ribosomal RNA
Rfam family: Bacterial small subunit ribosomal RNA
Source: RNAcentral
UUAGGCGGACGGGUGAGUAACGCGUGGAAAACCUGCCGUAUACUGGAGGAUAACACUUAGAAAUAGGUGCUAAUACCGCAUAAGCGCACAGCUUCGCAUGAAGCGGUGUGAAAAACUCUGGUGGUAUACGAUGGUUCCGCGUCUGAUUAGCUAGUUGGUGGGGUAAUGGCCUACCAAGGCAACGAUCAGUAGCCGGCCUGAGAGGGUGAACGGCCACAUUGGGACUGAGACACGGCCCAAACUCCUACGGAAGGCAGCAG